GAUGAACGCUGGCGGCGUGCCUAAUACAUGCAAGUCGAGCGAACGGACGAGAAGCUUGCUUUUCUGAUGUUAGCGGCGGACGGGUGAGUAACACGUGGAUAGCCUACCUAUAAGACUGGGAUAACUUCGGGAAACCGGAGCUAAUACCGGAUAAUAUUUUGAACCGCAUGGUUCAAAAGUGAAAGACGGUCUUGCUGUCACUUAUAGAUGGAUCCGCGCUGCAUUAGCUAGUUGGUAAGGUAACGGCUUACCAAGGCAACGAUGCAUAGCCGACCUGAGAGGGUGAUCGGCCACACUGGAACUGAGGCACGGUCCAGACUCCUACGGGAGGCAGCAGUAGGGAAUCUUCCGCAAUGGGCGAAAGCCUGACGGAGCAACGCCGCGUGAGUGAUGAAGGUCUUCGGAUCGUAAAACUCUGUUAUUAGGGAAGAACAUAUGUGUAAGUAACUGUGCACAUCUUGACGGUACCUAAUCAGAAAGCCACGGCUAACUACGUG
Molecule: ribosomal RNA, 497 nt
Filed under: uncultured bacterium
Lineage: Bacteria
Description: partial 16S ribosomal RNA
Rfam family: Bacterial small subunit ribosomal RNA
Source: RNAcentral